RNAcentral lists this unclassified non-coding RNA (394 nucleotides) under soil metagenome. RNAcentral describes it as "partial contains 5.8S ribosomal RNA, internal transcribed spacer 2, and large subunit ribosomal RNA". The stretch from base 1 to 122 matches the Rfam family "5.8S ribosomal RNA", at positions 35 to 154 of the family's 154-position model. The record is from RNAcentral.
GAUGAAGAACGUAGCGAAAUGCGAUACUUGGUGUGAAUUGCAGAAUCCCGUGAACCAUCGAGUCUUUGAACGCAAGUUGCGCCCGAAGCCAUCAGGUUGAGGGCACGUCUGCCUGGGCGUCACAUAUCGUUGCCCAAUGCCUAUUGCAGUGCAAUAGGAAUUUCUAGGGCGAAUGAUGGCUUCCCGUGAUCGUUGUUGCCUCGCGGUUGGUUGAAAAUCGAGUCCUUGGUAGGGUGUGCCAUGGUAGAUGGUGGUCGAGUUAGAACGAUACCGAUCAUGUGCAUGCUCCCCAAAAUAUGGCCUCUAUGACCCACACGCGUCUUUUGACGCUCAUGACGAGACCUCAGGUCAGGCGGGGCUACCCGCUGAAUUUAAGCAUAUCAAUAAGCGGAGA